UACGGAGGGUGCAAGCGUUAUCCGGAUUCACUGGGUUUAAAGGGAGCGUAGGUGGGUUGGUAAGUCAGUGGUGAAAUCCCCGAGCUUAACUUGGGAACUGCCAUUGAUACUAUCAGUCUUGAAUACUGUGGAGGUUAGCGGAAUAUGUCAUGUAGCGGUGAAAUGCUUAGAUAUGACAUAGAACACCAAUUGCGAAGGCAGCUGGCUACACAAAUAUUGACACUGAGGCUCGAAAGCGUGGGGAGCGAACAGG
Molecule: ribosomal RNA, 253 nt
Filed under: uncultured bacterium
Lineage: Bacteria
Description: partial 16S ribosomal RNA
Rfam family: Bacterial small subunit ribosomal RNA
Source: RNAcentral